UAGGGAAUCUUCGGCAAUGGGGGGAACCCUGACCGAGCAACGCCGCGUGAGUGAAGAAGGUUUUCGGAUCGUAAAGCUCUGUUGUUAAGGAAGAACGAGUGUGAGAAUGGAAAGUUCAUACUGUGACGGUACUUAACCAGAAAGGGACGGCUAACUACGUGCCAGCAGCCGCGGUAAUACGUAGGUCCCGAGCGUUGUCCGGAUUUAUUGGGAGUAAAGCGAGCGCAGGCGGUUAGAUAAGUCUGAAGUUAAAGGCAGUGGCUCAACCAUUGUAGGCUUUGGAAACUGUUUAGCUUGAGUGCAGAAGAGGAGAGUGGAAUUCCAUGUGUAGCGGUGAAAUGCGUAGAUAUAUGGAGGAACACCGGUGGCGAAAGCGGCUCUCUGGUCUGUAACUGACGCUGAGGCUCGAAAGCGUGGGGAGCGAACAGG
RNAcentral lists this ribosomal RNA (429 nucleotides) under Bacteroidota bacterium. RNAcentral describes it as "Bacteroidetes bacterium partial 16S ribosomal RNA". It matches the Rfam family "Bacterial small subunit ribosomal RNA", at positions 355 to 776 of the family's 1533-position model. The record is from RNAcentral. Lineage: Bacteria; Pseudomonadati; Bacteroidota.